UUUUCUACUUAAUCUCUCAUUGCUUACUUAUAUUGUAAGUGUGACCAAAUAAACCAAGUACAGAAGCUCAAUUCCCAAGAUGGAGGCCAGCAGCAGCACCUCCCAUGACCCAGCAUUGUUCCAUGCUCCCUUGCUACACCACCCUCGGAGGAGGAGCAGCAGACCCUUAAAGGGUUUCGCAGUGAUAUUUGGGUCCGUCGUUUUCCUACUCUCACUGGUCAUAUUAAUCGUUAACCAAA
RNAcentral lists this long non-coding RNA (239 nucleotides) under Gossypium barbadense (sea-island cotton). RNAcentral describes it as "long non-coding RNA (GBAR_LNC011928)". Lineage: Eukaryota; Viridiplantae; Streptophyta; Magnoliopsida; Malvales; Malvaceae. The record is from RNAcentral.